Molecule: long non-coding RNA, 248 nt
Filed under: Nicotiana benthamiana
Lineage: Eukaryota; Viridiplantae; Streptophyta; Magnoliopsida; Solanales; Solanaceae
Description: long non-coding RNA (NBEN_LNC026366)
Source: RNAcentral
CAAGCUCCACCACCAAUCAAAACCCUCCCCCACCAAAUGUCCCUAUCUUUGUGGCACCUCCCCCAGCCCGAUUGCACAGAUCAUCUAGUGAGCCAUUGUUUCAAGCUCACGAUGCACAAUAUUGCCCCCUGAGCUCACAUUCAAAGCACCUGAGCCACAUACCUAUAAUCCACACUUUGAGGUCCCGACGGAGACUGAAAAGAUGGCUAAAAACAAGCAGGACGAGGUAAUGCGGAAGUUCAAAAGCC